Molecule: ribosomal RNA, 254 nt
Filed under: uncultured bacterium
Lineage: Bacteria
Description: partial 16S ribosomal RNA
Rfam family: Bacterial small subunit ribosomal RNA
Source: RNAcentral
UACGUAGGGGGCAAGCGUUGUCCGGAUUUAUUGGGCGUAAAGAGCGUGUAGGCGGUUAGGUAGGUCCGUUGUGAAAACUCGAGGCUCAACCUCGAGACGCCGAUGGAAACCAUCUAACUAGAGUCCGGAAGAGGAGAGUGGGAAUUCCUGGUGUAGCGGUGAAAUGCGCAGAUAUCAGGAAGAACACCCGUGGCUAAGGCGGCUCUCUAGUACGGUACUGACGCUGAGACGCGAAAGCGUGGGGAGCAAACAGG